The sequence is a small nuclear RNA, 178 nucleotides long. Its record names the gene U2. It matches the Rfam family "U2 spliceosomal RNA". Rfam says of the family: U2 is a small nuclear RNA (snRNA) component of the spliceosome (involved in pre-mRNA splicing). Complementary binding between U2 snRNA (in an area lying towards the 5' end but 3' to hairpin I) and the branchpoint sequence (BPS) of the intron results the bulging out of an unpaired adenosine, on the BPS, which initiates a nucleophilic attack at the intronic 5' splice site, thus starting the first of two transesterification reactions that mediate splicing. The record is from Ensembl.
AUCGCUUCUUAGCCUUUUGGCUAAGAUCAAGUGUAAAAAGUUAUAUUAUAUGUGUGUUUGUGUUCUGCCUGCAAGUAUGUCUGCGUGAGUGUGUCAAAUCUUGGAGUUAUAGACAAUUGUGAGCUUUCAUUUGGUUUCUGGGAAUUGAACUCAGGUCCUCUAGAAGACCAGUCAGUGC